This 435-nucleotide ribosomal RNA is filed under the name uncultured bacterium. RNAcentral's name for it is "bacterial SSU rRNA". It matches the Rfam family "Bacterial small subunit ribosomal RNA", at positions 958 to 1392 of the family's 1533-position model. The record is from RNAcentral.
AACGCGAAGAACCUUACCUGGGUUUGACAUGGACGUGGUAGCCGGGGCGAAAGCUCUGGCGACCCGCAAGGGAGCGUUCACAGGUGCUGCAUGGCUGUCGUCAGCUCGUGUCGUGAGAUGUUCGGUUAAGUCCGGCAACGAGCGCAACCCUCGCCUCCAGUUACCAGCGAGUAAAGUCGGGGACUCUGGAGGGACUAACCCGUUAGGGUGGGAAGGUGGGGAUGACGUCAAGUCAGUAUGGCCCUUACAUCCAGGGCUGCACACGUGCUACAAUGCCUGGUACAAAAGGAUCCGAUGCCGCGAGGCGGAGGAAAUCCCCAAGGCCAGGCCCAGUUCAGAUUGGAGUCUGCAACUCGACUCCAUGAAGCCGGAAUCGCUAGUAAUGGUAGAUCAGCUACGCUACCGUGAAUACGUUCCCGGGUCUUGUACACACCG